GAGUUUGAUCUUGGCUCAGAUUGAACGCUGGCGGCAGGCCUAACACAUGCAAGUCGAGCGGUAGAGAGAAGCUUGCUUCUCUUGAGAGCGGCGGACGGGUGAGUAAUGCCUAGGAAUCUGCCUGGUAGUGGGGGAUAACGCUCGGAAACGGACGCUAAUACCGCAUACGUCCUACGGGAGAAAGCAGGGGACCUUCGGGCCUUGCGCUAUCAGAUGAGCCUAGGUCGGAUUAGCUAGUUGGUGAGGUAAUGGCUCACCAAGGCGACGAUCCGUAACUGGUCUGAGAGGAUGAUCAGUCACACUGGAACUGAGACACGGUCCAGACUCCUACGGGAGGCAGCAGUGGGGAAUAUUGGACAAUGGGCGAAAGCCUGAUCCAGCCAUGCCGCGUGUGUGAAGAAGGUCUUCGGAUUGUAAAGCACUUUAAGUUGGAGGAAGGGCAGUAAAUUAAUAACUUUGCUGUUUUGACGUUACCGACAGAAUAAGCACCGGCUAACUCUGUGCCAGCACG
This 511-nucleotide ribosomal RNA is filed under the name uncultured bacterium. RNAcentral's name for it is "bacterial SSU rRNA". It matches the Rfam family "Bacterial small subunit ribosomal RNA", at positions 9 to 515 of the family's 1533-position model. The record is from RNAcentral.